RNAcentral lists this ribosomal RNA (603 nucleotides) under uncultured archaeon. RNAcentral describes it as "bacterial SSU rRNA". It matches the Rfam family "Archaeal small subunit ribosomal RNA", at positions 318 to 921 of the family's 1478-position model. The record is from RNAcentral.
AGGCCCUACGGGGCGCAGCAGGCGCGAAACCUCCGCAAUGCACGCAAGUGCGACGGGGGGACCCCAAGUGCCACUCUUAACGGGGUGGCUUUUCAGGAGUGUAAAAAGCUCCUGGAAUAAGGGCUGGGCAAGACCGGUGCCAGCCGCCGCGGUAACACCGGCAGCUCGAGUGGUAGCCGCGUUUAUUGGGCCUAAAGCGUCCGUAGCCGGUCCGAUAAGUCUCUGGUGAAAGCCCACAGCUCAACUGUGUGAAUCGCUGGAGAUACUAUCGGACUUGAGGCCGGGAGAGGCUGGAGGUACUCCCAGGGUAGGGGUGAAAUCCUAUAAUCCUGGGAGGACCACCUGUGGCGAAGGCGUCCAGCUGGAACGGACCUGACGGUGAGGGACGAAAGCCAGGGGCGCGAACCGGAUUAGAUACCCGGGUAGUCCUGGCCGUAAACGAUGCGGACUUGGUGUUGGGACGGCUUUGAGCUGUCCCAGUGCCGAAGGGAAGCUGUUAAGUCCGCCGCCUGGGAAGUACGGCCGCAAGGCUGAAACUUAAAGGAAUUGGCGGGGGAGCACCACAACGCGUGGAGCCUGCGGUUUAAUUGGAUUCAACGCCGG